CUCGGAGUUUGAUCCUGGCUCAGAUUGAACGCUGGCGGAAUGCUUUACACAUGCAAGUCGAACGGUAGAGGGGGCAACCCCUCGAGAGUGGCGAACGGGUGAGUAAUAUAUCGGAACGUGCCCAGUCGUGGGGGAUAACGUAGCGAAAGUUACGCUAAUACCGCAUACGAUCUAAGGAUGAAAGCGGGGGAUCGCAAGACCUCGCGCGAUUGGAGCGGCCGAUAUCAGAUUAGGUAGUUGGUGGGGUAAAGGCUCACCAAGCCAACGAUCUGUAGCUGGUCUGAGAGGACGACCAGCCACACUGGAACUGAGACACGGUCCAGACUCCUACGGGAGCAGCAGUGGGGAAUUUUGGACAAUGGACGCAAGUCUGAUCCAGCCCAUUCCCGCGUGCAGGACGAAGGCCCUCGGGUUGUAAACUGCUUUUGUACAGAACGAAAAGGUCUCUAUUAUACUAGGGGGCUCAUGACGGUACUGUAAG
This 481-nucleotide ribosomal RNA is filed under the name uncultured Limnohabitans sp. Its description in RNAcentral is "bacterial SSU rRNA". It matches the Rfam family "Bacterial small subunit ribosomal RNA", at positions 1 to 484 of the family's 1533-position model. Lineage: Bacteria; Pseudomonadati; Pseudomonadota; Betaproteobacteria; Burkholderiales; Comamonadaceae. The record is from RNAcentral.